Molecule: transfer RNA, 77 nt
Filed under: Paracoccaceae bacterium
Lineage: Bacteria; Pseudomonadati; Pseudomonadota; Alphaproteobacteria; Rhodobacterales; Paracoccaceae
Description: Rhodobacteraceae bacterium (activated sludge metagenome) tRNA-Arg
Rfam family: tRNA
About the family: Transfer RNA (tRNA) molecules are approximately 80 nucleotides in length. Their secondary structure includes four short double-helical elements and three loops (D, anti-codon, and T loops). Further hydrogen bonds mediate the characteristic L-shaped molecular structure. tRNAs have two regions of fundamental functional importance: the anti-codon, which is responsible for specific mRNA codon recognition, and the 3' end, to which the tRNAs corresponding amino acid is attached (by aminoacyl-tRNA synthetases). tRNAs cope with the degeneracy of the genetic code in two manners: having more than one tRNA (with a specific anti-codon) for a particular amino acid; and 'wobble' base-pairing, i.e. permitting non-standard base-pairing at the 3rd anti-codon position.
Source: RNAcentral
GGUCUCGUGGCUAAACUGGAUAGAGCAGCUGACUUCUAAUCGGCAGGUUCGGGGUUCGAGUGCUCGCGGGAUCGCCA